CGAACGGGUGAGUAAUGCGUGACCAACCUGCCCCAUGCUCCAGAAUAGCUCUUGGAAACGGGUGGUAAUGCUGGAUGCUCCAACUUGACGCAUGUCUUGUUGGGAAAGUGUUUAGUGGCAUGGGAUGGAGUCGCGUCCUAUCAGCUUGUAGGCGGGGUAAUGGCCCACCUAGGCUUCGACGGGUAGCCGGCCUGAGAGGGCGGACGGCCACAUUGGGACUGAGAUACGGCCCAGACUCCUACGGGAGGCAGCAGGG
RNAcentral lists this ribosomal RNA (256 nucleotides) under uncultured Gardnerella sp. RNAcentral describes it as "partial 16S ribosomal RNA". It matches the Rfam family "Bacterial small subunit ribosomal RNA", at positions 99 to 354 of the family's 1533-position model. Lineage: Bacteria; Bacillati; Actinomycetota; Actinomycetes; Bifidobacteriales; Bifidobacteriaceae. The record is from RNAcentral.